AUACGGAGGGCGCGAGCGUUAUCCGGAUUUAUUGGGUUUAAAGGGUGCGCAGGCGGAUAAUUAAGUCAGUGGUGAAAUCCUCCCGCUCAACGGGAGAACUGCCAUUGAUACUGAUAAUCUGGAAUACGGUUGAAGUGGGCGGAAUGUAGCAUGUAGCGGUGAAAUGCAUAGAGAUGCUACAGAACACCGAUCGCGAAGGCAGCUCACUAAGCCGAUAUUGACGCUCAGGCACGGAAGCGUGGGUAGCGAACAGGAUUAGAAACCCUAGUAGUCC
This 274-nucleotide ribosomal RNA is filed under the name uncultured bacterium. RNAcentral describes it as "partial 16S ribosomal RNA". It matches the Rfam family "Bacterial small subunit ribosomal RNA", at positions 523 to 796 of the family's 1533-position model. The record is from RNAcentral.